CCUGACCUGCCUCCAUUAUACUACUCCGACUUACCAACUUUUCUCAGGUUGCCUGAGAGCUACCCAGCUUAUUUGGCUAUGAAAUUGAGUCAGUUUUCUAACUUGGACAUGGCUGACUGGAUUUUUGCAAACACCUUUGAAGAGUUAGAAGGCAAGGAGGCAGGAGGCAUAUCAAAGCUUUGGCCGGCGAAGUUGAUCGGUCCGAUGGUGCCAUCUUCCUACUUGGAUGGGCGGAUUGAAGGAGAUAAAGGAUAUGGAGCAAGUCUAUGGAAUCCACUUGGGGAAGAGUGUCUGAGAUGGCUAGAAACAAAGGCAACUCAAUCAGUGGUGUACGUAUCUUUUGGAAGCAUGGUUUCCUUAACGGUAAAACAGAUGGAAGAACUUGCGUGGGGGUUGAAAGAAAGCAAUUUAAACUUCUUAUUGGUUGUGAGAGAAUCAGAAAUGCAUAAACUGCCAACUGGGUUCAUUGACUCAAUAAAUGACAAGGGUCUAAUAGUGACAUGGUGCAACCAGCUUGAAAUGCUGGCACACAAAACCAUAGGCUGCUUCGUGACGCAUUGUGGGUGGAAUUCGACCCUUGAAGCUCUGAGCCUUGGCGUACCAAUGGUGUGCAUACCACAAUGGACAGACCAAGUGCCCAAUGCCAAGUUUGUGGAAGAUGUUUGGAAAGUGGGGAUUAGAGCUAAGGAGGAUGAGAAAGGAGUUGUGAGGAAACAAGAAGUGGUUAGAUGUUUGAAGGAAGUAAUGGAAGGAAAGAAAAGCUAUGAGAUCAAGAAGAAUGCAAGAAAAUGGAGGCAGGUGGCUGGAAAAACAGUCGGUGAAGGAGGGAGCUCUGAUAAGCAUAUUAAUGAUUUUGUAGCUAGAGCACUUGGAGCUUGCAAAUAAGAAAGGAGAGGCCAAGGUUUUGAAUGGCUAUAAUUAUUAGACUCAGAUUUCACCUAUAUCUCUUGGGUUUGAGCAUAUUCCGUACAUUAAUCUAGAAAAAUUCAUCGAUUUCACCGUUAUAUGUGUGUGCUCUGUUCUCGUCUUCCUUUUUCAUAUUCUGGUCGUUGUAUUAUGAAUUUCAAUGUUUAUUGUU
Molecule: unclassified non-coding RNA, 1078 nt
Filed under: Hevea brasiliensis (rubber tree)
Lineage: Eukaryota; Viridiplantae; Streptophyta; Magnoliopsida; Malpighiales; Euphorbiaceae
Source: RNAcentral